GUUUUUAUUGAGGUAUAAUUGAUAUAUGACAUUAAACUAGUUUCAGGUGGACAGCGUAGUGAUUUGAUAUUUGUAUACAUUGCAAAAUAUCACCAUAAGUCUAGUUAAUAUCCAUCACCAUACAUAGUUACAAAAACUUUUUUCCUGAGAAUUGACUUACUCUCAGCAACUUUCAAAUAUGCAAUACAGUAUUAUUAUUAACUAUGGUCACCAUGCUGUACAUUACAUCCCUGUGACAUUUAUUUUAUAACUGCAAGUUUGUACUUUUUGACCUCCUUCACCCAUUUCUCUCACCACACCCCCACUGCCUCUGGCAACCACCAAUCUAUUCUCUGUAUCUAUGUGCUUGGUUGGUUUGUUUUUUAGAUUCUACAUAUAAGUGAGAUCACAUGGUGUUUCUCUUUCUCUGUCUGACUUAUUUCACUUAACAUAAUGCCAUCAAAUGAUGUUGUCGCAAAUGGCAAGAUCUUAUUCUUUUUUAUGGCUGAAUAAUAUUCCAUUGUGUCUAUGUGUAUUAUAUAUAUGGAUAUAAUACACACAUACCACAUUUUCUUUAUCCAUUCAUCCAUUGAUGGACACUUAGGUUGUUUCCAUAUCUUGGCUAUUGUAAAUAAUGCUACAAUGAACAUGGGGGUGCUAUGUUGUUGUUGACCUUGUUCUAAAAUGCCUACUUCCACUCUCCUGCCUUAGGAACUGGUGAUGGAAUUGGGAUCUCCUAGUUGAGGAGUAGCGCUGGCAGGGCCUAGGGCUCCACUACUCCAGGCAAUAUCACCUUCCAUCCAGAAUCCUGACCUGUAGCUAGAACAGGGUUAGCUGACGGUGUCCUGAACCCAGGAAGCUUGGAGGCAGGCUGGUGCAUGCAGAAUUGACAAUGGUAUGCCUCUUUCCCUCCACACUAUUGACUGGGAAGAAAUUAAGUUUUAAUGAAUUUGAACCUAGUUAGGCUGAACUUUCCUUAGCAUAAAAGGCUGAAAUAUCAAGGCAGUGUCCAGAGCUUCAGCAACUCUCAUGUCCCAGCAAGACAAGUCACAAACCCCUCUGGCCUCCUUGCCAGACUACCUUUUUAACUCUCAAGAGGGUUCAGAGGAUGAAUGACCCCUUAGUCAUCCUUGAAGAAACCUGGCUAAAAAUCCUAUGUGCUCCUCUUGAUUAGUUACUUCAGACUAAAGAUGGGCUUUUCAAAUAGGGAGCUAUUUUCCUCAGUAUGACUUUAAAAGGAGUCUAGUUUUCCCCAUGCUCAGCUCCCCCCACCCCACCCAUCACCCCAUCACUAGACACUGUCUCUAGUGAGGAGGGGGCAGAGCAGCACGACAGCUGAUGAUCUGCUGUUAGGAUACUAACAUUUCUCUAUCCUGUUACCAGGCAUAGCAUUAACAGCAAGGACACAGUGCAACCCACUAGCUAGUCUUGCAUACAAGACCUGGAAAAUAAAGAAUACUAAAAGUGAGAGGAUGGAAACAAAGCAAUAAGCUGAGACCAGAGCUUGGCACAUGGUCCACGCUGAAGGGAGCGAAUGCAGUAUUAACUUUCCUAAGAUAUUCUAGCAAUAAUGAAAUAGCUUCUCCCACUGUGGUUUAAAAUCUCAACAGCAAAUAGAUUUGCAUGUUGUGUUUUUCUGUUAUGACAUUACCUGUUCAAUAUGCUAAACCAACCCCUUUUUUCCUUCUGAUUUUAGGUUUGGUUUAAGAAUAGGAAGGACAAGUGUUGGAGACAUGAGAGGGCUUUAGUCCUCAGAACUAUGUCACCCGUUGCCAUGGGUCACCCUGUCAUCAUAAUCUUGGAUGGACUCUAUAAUGCCAUGUUUGUUCUGGAGCCCAAAUGGAGUUGGGU
Molecule: long non-coding RNA, 1830 nt
Organism: Equus asinus (donkey)
Lineage: Eukaryota; Metazoa; Chordata; Mammalia; Perissodactyla; Equidae
Source: Ensembl